UUUAAAAAUUAUAGUAUCUCAAUAGCAAACAAGCCAAUAAAUUCAUUUAGAUUUUCCUCACAUGCGCCUAACUCGUGCCGUACUGGCCCCCAUUUGCAUCUCUAAUGACGUUCAUAGCGUUUCUUAUUCUUCUUGUGAACAAAUUGAUCAAAUUAGGGCUAAUAAAUUUUGAAUAGACCAUGUGCAAAGAAAAUAAAUUCAAACCUCAUUUUUUAGCUGAAAAGUUUGUGUGCCCCUGUAUGUAUUUUUCAGGAAAAUAAAGAUAAAUUACGGACCAAUUAUAAUAAAAAGGUUAUUAUUUGUCUUCUUGGCGACCAUCUCACCGAAACCCUAAAGAGACUACUCACCUAAUGAGUAGAGAAUAGAGAUAUUACUAAUUGAUUAAGACAUCGAGGUCUGAAGUAUUAAUUUCAUUCUAAUUAAUUCUACAAAACGGCAGUAGUAGUUAAUUUUCAUAAUAAUGGAUCAAGACUUGUCGUGUCAAAAACAUAUAAGCACGACACUAAUGCGGUGCUUUACCCAAUCAGCACUGAAUGCUUAAUGUGUAAUUAUUGGCAAAGCAUAUAUAUUAAUAAAUCACAUUAAAUACUUUUAGCCUCCUCUCGAAAAUGAUUUACUCGAUACUGUCUUUUUCUUGUUUGUUUUAGUUAACUUAAAUCAAACUAAUGUCAUCUCAUCACCUUUUUAGUUGAAGUAGAUUCCGAUCCAAUCUAAAGAUCUUUUGUAUAUCAGCACAAGACAUUCAUUACUGUAGUUGAACACAGCUAUGAUCCAAAUUGAACAAUCUUUAUUCAAACGUUGUAAAUAUAACUAGUCCGGUUGGGGUUUAAUUUUUGGAAUAGAAGUAAGAGGUCACAGUUCAAGUUCGGGAGAUUCCCAUUAAUAGAGAUAAUUUGUCAUAAUUAUAUAUUAAGACAGUAAUGAUUGGAACACAAACUAUCGUUAUUGCUAUUAAAACUCACUGAGUGGAAAACAAUUUUUUUUCAUAUGAUAUCUCUUAUUUAAUUAUUUUCUACCACUAAUAGCAUAAUGAUUUUUU
Molecule: long non-coding RNA, 1039 nt
Filed under: Citrus x clementina
Lineage: Eukaryota; Viridiplantae; Streptophyta; Magnoliopsida; Sapindales; Rutaceae
Description: Citrus clementina (C. clementina) long non-coding RNA (CCLE_LNC001078)
Source: RNAcentral